Molecule: ribosomal RNA, 293 nt
Filed under: Beta vulgaris subsp. vulgaris (sugar beet)
Lineage: Eukaryota; Viridiplantae; Streptophyta; Magnoliopsida; Caryophyllales; Amaranthaceae
Description: rRNA SSU_rRNA_eukarya
Rfam family: Bacterial small subunit ribosomal RNA
Source: RNAcentral
AAAAUAUUCAUAGUCAAAGUUUUGAUUUGUUCUGUCGGUUGAUAAACAUAAAAGUUAAAAAGAUAUGAUUAAAAAGGUAUAUAAACGACCAUAGUUCAGGUAUCACAACUUAUUAGAAUAGCUGGUGUAAUUCUAACAGAAAAUUACACCGACACUGACACUGAGAGACGAAAGCUGGGGGAGCGAAUGGGAUUAGAUACCCCAGUAGUCCUAGCCGCCGUAAACGAUGGAUACUAGGCGCUGUGCGUAUCGACCCGUGCAGUGUUGUACCUAACACGUUAAGUAUCCCGCCU